Small nucleolar RNA from Dasypus novemcinctus (nine-banded armadillo), 132 nucleotides. The record is from Ensembl. NCBI's taxonomy places the organism in Eukaryota, Metazoa, Chordata, Mammalia, Cingulata, Dasypodidae.
CCCUCCUACAAAGGCGUGUCAGUGGUUUCCUGUCCUCGGACACGUAAGAAUUGGAGGCAAAAAGAUGUGGACUUGGAGAAGUCUGGAGCCCGCUUGCUCCCCGCAGGCUCAAGAUCAUCCUUUCCCACACAG